CCUACGGGUGGCAGCAGUGGGGAAUAUUGCACAAUGGGGGAAACCCUGAUGCAGCGACGCCGCGUGAGUGAAGAAGUACUUCGUUAUGUAAAGCUCUAUCAGCAGGGAAGAAAAUGACGGUACCUGAGUAAGAAGCCCCGGCCAACUACGUGCCAGCAGCCGCCGUAAUACGUCGGGGGCAAGCGUUAACCGGAUUUACUGGGGGGAAAGGGAGCGGAGACGGCAGUGCAAGUCUGGAGUGAAAGGCGGGGGCUCAACCCCCGGACUGCGCUGGGAACUGGAGGGCUGGAGUGCGGGAGAGGUAAGUGGAAUUCCUCGUGUAGCAGUGAAAUGCGUAGAUAUGAGGAGGAACACCAGUGGCGAAGGCGGCCUACUGGACUGUCACUGACGUUGAGGCUCGAAAGCGUGGGGAGCAAACAGGAUUAGAUACCCGAGUAGUC
This 440-nucleotide ribosomal RNA is filed under the name uncultured bacterium. RNAcentral's name for it is "partial 16S ribosomal RNA". It matches the Rfam family "Bacterial small subunit ribosomal RNA", at positions 338 to 795 of the family's 1533-position model. The record is from RNAcentral.